GACGAACGCUGGCGGCGUGCCUAAUACAUGCAAGUCGAACGCUUCUUUCCUCCCGAGUGCUUGCACUCAAUUGGAAAAAGGAGUGGCGGACGGGUGAGUAACACGUGGGUAACCUACCCAUCAUAGGGGGAUAACACUUUGAAACAGGUGCUAAUACCGCAUAACAGUUUAUGCCGCAUGGCAUAAGAGUGAAGGGCGCUUUCGGGUGUCGCUGAUGGCUGGACCCGCGGUGCAUUAGCUAGUUGGUCAGGUAACGGCUCACCAAGGCCACGAUGCAUAGCCGAACUGAGAGGGUGAUCGGCCACACUGGGACUGAGACACGCACCAGGCGCCUACGGGAGGCAGCAGUAGGGAACCUUCGGCAAUGGACGAAAGUCUGACCGAGCAACGCCGCGUGAGUGAAGAAGGUUUUCGGAUCGUAAAACUCUGUUGUUAGAGAAGAACAAGGACGUUAGUAAAUGAACGUCCCCUGACGGUAUCUAACCAGAAAGCCACGGCUAACUACGUG
RNAcentral lists this ribosomal RNA (508 nucleotides) under uncultured bacterium. Its description in RNAcentral is "partial 16S ribosomal RNA". It matches the Rfam family "Bacterial small subunit ribosomal RNA", at positions 28 to 507 of the family's 1533-position model. The record is from RNAcentral.